Long non-coding RNA from Lathyrus oleraceus (garden pea), 468 nucleotides. RefSeq lists it as uncharacterized. The transcript is spliced from 3 exons. The record is from RefSeq and is a predicted model, not a curated record. NCBI's taxonomy places the organism in Eukaryota, Viridiplantae, Streptophyta, Magnoliopsida, Fabales, Fabaceae.
CCCUCUUUCACUCUCUCUCGUUCGAAGCUCUCGCUGCCCUGGAAAAAAUUCCACAGAGUACCUGGAAAUCUCAACGAUAAACACUGCAAAUUUGAAAGAGACUGCAUUCGAAAGAGAAGGAUUCAAUACCUGGAAAUCUCAUUGCGUUUUAAGGUUGUUGAGUAUCGUGGUGAGCAAAUAGGAGGUCUUGAGGAUCUGAGGGAACCAUAUAUGUUGUUUUCUUCCUUUAUAGAUAAAUUCUUGCUUAGCUUUUAUUACAUGGUUUGCGUCUAAUUGAAAACUUCACGUCUUUGCCCAUUUCAGGUUCUUACAAAAUCGGUACUGCGUCUGAAUCUGUUAAUGCAGCUUACAUAUUUUCUAGAAAAGAUCUUUCUCGGCCUGCUAUACAGAUUCCCUGCGCAAGCAAAGCUGUUGUAGCUGUCCGGUUCUGUCCUAUAUUUUUUAAUCUCAAAGCGACAAACUCAGGUA